RNAcentral lists this ribosomal RNA (188 nucleotides) under uncultured Cortinarius. Its description in RNAcentral is "partial 28S ribosomal RNA". It matches the Rfam family "Eukaryotic large subunit ribosomal RNA", at positions 1 to 193 of the family's 3401-position model. The record is from RNAcentral. Lineage: Eukaryota; Fungi; Basidiomycota; Agaricomycetes; Agaricales; Cortinariaceae.
GUGACCUCAAAUCAGGUAGGACUACCCGCUGAACUUAAGCAUAUCAAUAAGCGGAGGAAAAGAAACUAACAAGGAUCCCCUAGUAACUGCGAGUGAAGCGGGAAAGCUCAAUUUAAAUCUGGCGUCUUUGACUGUCCGAGUGUAUCUAGAGAAGUGUUAUCCGCGCUGACCGUGUACAAGUCUCCUGG